UGAACAACUGCUGCAGGUUAUAUGUUUGUAGUUAGAAUGUGAGACUGGCAAACAUGUGAUCUGUUAUUACUUUUAAUCAUUUUCAUGAUGAUUUUGUUUGUGUGCAGAUGGCUCUCCUGUGCUGGAUGGCAGUGGUGCUGGCUUUCUUCCUGUCUGCUGAUAACAGUGUGGAUGCUGUGGACAGCAGCAGGCUUGCAACACUUGUAAAUGGCAUCUUGAGAGAGUACGGAACACCUGGCAUGUUCAGUCUGGCUGUAAGUAUCCCAGAUGACCAGAACCGGAACAUUGAGGAUAUCCUUCAGGAAGUCUUCCUUAGUGAUCCUGGUGACGACGUGAAGAAUAACAACAAAAACGAGGUGUACGUGGGCAGCAGGGUUGUUGCAGCCAAAGUUCUGAAACGGCCCAAUAGAGGAGCGGAUCAUGCAGAGUCACGCGUUGUGGACCAUCUGAGCAGAUUGUUCAAGAAGAAUAAUCGCGAUGAUUUCUUGCUUUUCUAUGUUUAUGCCUCCCCAUGUGUUGAAAAAUGUUCAAACGACACACAUCACGAGAGCAUCCUCAGAAGGAUUAAUGCCAUACGGGAAUGGAAAAGUUACGCUGUUGUGUUUUCUAAAAUAUUUAAACCCAAAAAUGGUCAGGCCAAUACUGAGCAAGAGCUGAGUGGAGCUCUUCAGCGACUCGGGACGUACCAGGGUACCAAAGGUCAAAUCGGUCUAAACAACAUAUUCCGUUGUGACAAACGAAAUAAUUGGAUGCAGUGCAAUAGCUGCCUCAGUGGUAAUCAAGUUCAACAGUAUUGUAUUUCAGAUCCAAAGACUGGCAGCAGCCAAAGCCAGUCAUCCACUUCAUUCAUACAGCCUCAACAAGGCGGAGGUGGUUCCUCCUCACAAAGAGGUGGAAGUCAGGGUGGCAGAGGAAGGGGUGGCAGAGGUCAGGGUGGCAGAGGUCAGGGUGGCAGAGGAAGGGGUGGCAGAGGUCAGGGUGGCAGAGGUUAGGGUGGCAGAGGUCAGGGUGGCAGAGGGAAAAGAGGCAACAUUCAUUACACAGGCUACGGUGUUAACCUCGACUAAAGCAGACUCCUUUUGAUUAAUAACAAGACUAAAGGGCCUUUUCCAUUUCCAAGUUUGUACAUCUUUGAUUCCUUUCCUUGCAUCCUCUUCAAGGCAAGGACACCAGCAUAACAAAGAAAAGAAGUAUCUGUGCCUCUGAGCUGCCAUUUUAAAGUGACAUCAAUUAAGUAUGACGAGAGGCACAGCUGCAUCAUCUAUCUAUUGCUUGUUAUAUCUCUGAAGCGUUCAGAUCCUUUACUUACGUAAGAGUUCAAUGAUCGGGGGGCUGCAGCUGCGGUAUCGAGGUCCCGCCUGCACACCAUGUCAAAAGUCUGGAGCUCUGAAUGAGCAGGAAUCACUUCAUGAUGUGAAUGUGAAAGCUGCUCAUUUAAUUCUGAGUAAAAGGUUUUGGUACAAUUCUAUUAUAUUUGGCUUACAGGAGACACACUCUUACUUUGAUGCACAGAUUUGAACAUUAGCAGGAAUGUAUCACAACAAGUGAAAGCAGUCAUCUGUUUAUUUGAAUGUGAAAUUGCAAUAAACAUAUUUUGUCUCUUAAAUCAAUGAAUACUGGUGAUCUCAAUGUUGAUGGUGAUACUAAUCACAGAGCGUAUGUGUUUGUUACAUUUUAAAGCAGACUCAAAUAACAUCCAGCUGUCUUGCUUGUGUGUGCAGUAAGAGUGGAAAGAUUAGUUUAGUUUUUGGCCCCCAUUGAAAUCUGAAAAUUUAUCAAAGAAAUACACAUAC
Cottoperca gobio is the source of this 1793-nucleotide long non-coding RNA. Lineage: Eukaryota; Metazoa; Chordata; Actinopteri; Perciformes; Bovichtidae. The record is from Ensembl.